CCCUUAGAUGUCCUGGGCUGCACUCGCGCUACACUGAUGUGUCCAGUAAGCACCUAACCUCUUCCGAAAGGAACGGGUAACCUUUGCAAAGCACAUCGUGAUGGGGAUAGAUUAUUGCAAUUAUUAGUCUUGAACGAGGAAUUCCUAGUAAGCACAAGUCAUCAGCUUGUGUUGAUUACGUCCCUGCCCUUUGUACACACCGCCCGUCGCUCCUACCGAUUGAAUGUUCCGGUGAGCUCUUCGGACUGCGCGGUCUGCAGUUUCUGCGUUCCGUGCGGAAAGUUGCGCAAACCUUAACAUUUAGAGGAAGGAGAAGUCGUAACA
Molecule: ribosomal RNA, 324 nt
Filed under: uncultured eukaryote
Lineage: Eukaryota
Description: partial 18S ribosomal RNA
Rfam family: Eukaryotic small subunit ribosomal RNA
Source: RNAcentral